Molecule: ribosomal RNA, 3028 nt
Filed under: Salmonella enterica subsp. enterica serovar Minnesota
Lineage: Bacteria; Pseudomonadati; Pseudomonadota; Gammaproteobacteria; Enterobacterales; Enterobacteriaceae
Description: bacterial LSU rRNA
Rfam family: Bacterial large subunit ribosomal RNA
Source: RNAcentral
GGGUUGUGAGGUUAAGCGACUAAGCGUACACGGUGGAUGCCCUGGCAGUCAGAGGCGAUGAAGGGCGUGCUAAUCUGCGAUAAGCGCCGGUAAGGUGAUAUGAACCGUUAUAACCGGCGAUACCCGAAUGGGGAAACCCAGUGUGACUCAUCACACUAUCAUUAACUGAAUCCAUAGGUUAAUGAGGCGAACCGGGGGAACUGAAACAUCUAAGUACCCCGAGGAAAAGAAAUCAACCGAGAUUCCCCCAGUAGCGGCGAGCGAACGGGGAGGAGCCCAGAGCCUGAAUCAGCAUGUGUGUUAGUGGAAGCGUCUGGAAAGGCGCGCGAUACAGGGUGACAGCCCCGUACACAAAAGCGCAUAUGCUGUGAGCUCGAUGAGUAGGGCGGGACACGUGGUAUCCUGUCUGAAUAUGGGGGGACCAUCCUCCAAGGCUAAAUACUCCUGACUGACCGAUAGUGAACCAGUACCGUGAGGGAAAGGCGAAAAGAACCCCGGCGAGGGGAGUGAAAAAGAACCUGAAACCGUGUACGUACAAGCAGUGGGAGCCCCACCACUAAGCCAGUGGUGAACUCCACAUACGCAUCCUUUGCUGAGGAUACGGUUAACGGAGCGAAAGCGACGUUCAACCGCAAAAGAAGCAGAGGGGGCUUAGUGGUGGGGUGACUGCGUACCUUUUGUAUAAUGGGUCAGCGACUUAUAUUCUGUAGCAAGGUUAACCGCAUAGGGGAGCCGGAGGGAAACCGAGUCUUAAUUGGGCGUUAAGUUGCAGGGUAUAGACCCGAAACCCGGUGAUCUAGCCAUGGGCAGGUUGAAGGUUGGGUAACACUAACUGGAGGACCGAACCGACUAAUGUUGAAAAAUUAGCGGAUGACCUGUGGCUGGGGGUGAAAGGCCAAUCAAACCGGGAGAUAGCUGGUUCUCCCCGAAAGCUAUUUAGGUAGCGCCUCGUGAAUUCAUCUCCGGGGGUAGAGCACUGUUUCGGCUAGGGGGCCAUCCCGGCUUACCAACCCGAUGCAAACUGCGAAUACCGGAGAAUGUUAUCACGGGAGACACACGGCGGGUGCUAACGUCCGUCGUGAAGAGGGAAACAACCCAGACCGCCAGCUAAGGUCCCAAAGUCAUGGUUAAGUGGGAAACGAUGUGGGAAGGCCCAGACAGCCAGGAUGUUGGCUUAGAAGCAGCCAUCAUUUAAAGAAAGCGUAAUAGCUCACUGGUCGAGUCGGCCUGCGCGGAAGAUGUAACGGGGCUAAACCAUGCACCGAAGCUGCGGCAGCGACGCUUAUGCGUUGUUGGGUAGGGGAGCGUUCUGUAAGCCUGUGAAGGUGGCCUGUGAGGGUUGCUGGAGGUAUCAGAAGUGCGAAUGCUGACAUAAGUAACGAUAAAGCGGGUGAAAAGCCCGCUCGCCGGAAGACCAAGGGUUCCUGUCCAACGUUAAUCGGGGCAGGGUGAGUCGACCCCUAAGGCGAGGCCGAAAGGCGUAGUCGAUGGGAAACGGGUUAAUAUUCCCGUACUUGGUGUUACUGCGAAGGGGGGACGGAGAAGGCUAUGUUGGCCGGGCGACGGUUGUCCCGGUUUAAGCGUGUAGGUGUGUGUUCCAGGUAAAUCCGGUUCACUUUAACACUGAGGCGUGACGACGAGGCACUACGGUGCUGAAGCAACAAAUGCCCUGCUUCCAGGAAAAGCCUCUAAGCAUCAGGUAACACGAAAUCGUACCCCAAACCGACACAGGUGGUCAGGUAGAGAAUACCAAGGCGCUUGAGAGAACUCGGGUGAAGGAACUAGGCAAAAUGGUGCCGUAACUUCGGGAGAAGGCACGCUGACACGUAGGUGAAGUGAUUUACUCACGGAGCUGAAGUCAGUCGAAGAUACCAGCUGGCUGCAACUGUUUAUUAAAAACACAGCACUGUGCAAACACGAAAGUGGACGUAUACGGUGUGACGCCUGCCCGGUGCCGGAAGGUUAAUUGAUGGGGUCAGCGCAAGCGAAGCUCCUGAUCGAAGCCCCGGUAAACGGCGGCCGUAACUAUAACGGUCCUAAGGUAGCGAAAUUCCUUGUCGGGUAAGUUCCGACCUGCACGAAUGGCGUAAUGAUGGCCAGGCUGUCUCCACCCGAGACUCAGUGAAAUUGAACUCGCUGUGAAGAUGCAGUGUACCCGCGGCAAGACGGAAAGACCCCGUGAACCUUUACUAUAGCUUGACACUGAACAUUGAGCCUUGAUGUGUAGGAUAGGUGGGAGGCUUUGAAGUGUGGACGCCAGUCUGCAUGGAGCCGACCUUGAAAUACCACCCUUUGAUGUUUGAUGUUCUAACGUGGACCCGUUACCCGGGUUGCGGACAGUGUCUGGUGGGUAGUUUGACUGGGGCGGUCUCCUCCUAAAGAGUAACGGAGGAGCACGAAGGUUGGCUAAUCCUGGUCGGACAUCAGGAGGUUAGUGCAAUGGCAUAAGCCAGCUUGACUGCGAGCGUGACGGCGCGAGCAGGUGCGAAAGCAGGUCAUAGUGAUCCGGUGGUUCUGAAUGGAAGGGCCAUCGCUCAACGGAUAAAAGGUACUCCGGGGAUAACAGGCUGAUACCGCCCAAGAGUUCAUAUCGACGGCGGUGUUUGGCACCUCGAUGUCGGCUCAUCACAUCCUGGGGCUGAAGUAGGUCCCAAGGGUAUGGCUGUUCGCCAUUUAAAGUGGUACGCGAGCUGGGUUUAGAACGUCGUGAGACAGUUCGGUCCCUAUCUGCCGUGGGCGCUGGAGAACUGAGGGGGGCUGCUCCUAGUACGAGAGGACCGGAGUGGACGCAUCACUGGUGUUCGGGUUGUCAUGCCAAUGGCACUGCCCGGUAGCUAAAUGCGGAAGAGAUAAGUGCUGAAAGCAUCUAAGCACGAAACUUGCCCCGAGAUGAGUUCUCCCUGAGACUUUAGGUCUCCUGAAGGAACGUUGAAGACGACGACGUUGAUAGGCCGGGUGUGUAAGCGCAGCGAUGCGUUGAGCUAACCGGUACUAAUGAACCGUGAGGCUUAACCUUACAACGCCGAAG